GCAUGAGAUAGCUCAGUUGGCAGAGCAUGAGGCUCUUUUAAUCUCAGGACCGUGGGUUCAAGCCCCACUUAGGGCA
Podarcis lilfordi (Lilford's wall lizard) is the source of this 76-nucleotide non-coding RNA. NCBI's taxonomy places the organism in Eukaryota, Metazoa, Chordata, Lepidosauria, Squamata, Lacertidae. The record is from the annotation of a GenBank genome assembly.